RNAcentral lists this ribosomal RNA (273 nucleotides) under uncultured bacterium. RNAcentral describes it as "partial 16S ribosomal RNA". It matches the Rfam family "Bacterial small subunit ribosomal RNA", at positions 524 to 796 of the family's 1533-position model. The record is from RNAcentral.
UACGAAGGGUGCAAACGUUGCUCGGAAUCAUUGGGCGUAAAGCGCACGUAGGCGGCUUCGCAAGUCGGAUGUGAAAUCCCUGGGCUCAACCGAGGAAGUGCAUCCGAAACUGCGGAGCUUGAGUAUGGAAGAGGGUCGCGGAAUUCCCGGUGUAGAGGUGAAAUUCGUAGAUAUCGGGAGGAACACCAGUGGCGAAGGCGGCGACCUGGGCCAAUACUGACGCUGAGGUGCGAAAGCGUGGGGAGCAAACAGGAUUAGAAACCCCCGUAGUCC